RNAcentral lists this ribosomal RNA (253 nucleotides) under uncultured bacterium. RNAcentral describes it as "partial 16S ribosomal RNA". It matches the Rfam family "Bacterial small subunit ribosomal RNA", at positions 524 to 776 of the family's 1533-position model. The record is from RNAcentral.
UACGUAGGUGACCAGCGUUGUCCGGAUUUACUGGGCGUAAAGUGUGCGCAGGCGGCCGAGCAAGUCGAGUGUGAAAGCCCCGAGCUUAACUUGGGAACUGCGCUCGAAACUACUUGGCUAGAGUGUGGCAGAGGGAGGUGGAAUUCCACGUGUAGCGGUGAAAUGCGUAGAGAUGUGGAGGAACACCGAUGGCGAAGGCAGCACUCUGGGACGUGACUGACGCUGAGACGCGAAAGCGUGGGGAGCAAACAGG